Molecule: ribosomal RNA, 253 nt
Filed under: uncultured bacterium
Lineage: Bacteria
Description: partial 16S ribosomal RNA
Rfam family: Bacterial small subunit ribosomal RNA
Source: RNAcentral
UACGUAGGGGCCGAGCGUUGUCCGGAUUCAUUGGGCGUAAAGGGCGCGUAGGCGGCUUGGCAAGUGGAAGGUGAAAUCCCUCGGCUUAACCGAGGAACUGCCCUCCAAACUGCUUCGCUUGAGACCGGGAGAGGUGAGUGGAAUUCCCAGUGUAGCGGUGAAAUGCGUAGAUAUUGGGAGGAACACCAGUGGCGAAGGCGGCUCACUGGACCGGUACUGACGCUGAUGCGCGAAAGCGUGGGGAGCAAACGGG